AACUGAAGUUGGUGGUGGUCGGAAAGCUAUCAUAAUCUUUGUUCCCGUUCCUCAACUGAAAUCUUUCCAGAAAAUCCAAGUCCGGCUAGUACGCGAAUUGGAGAAAAAGUUCAUUUGGACAAAGCACAGCAGAACAAUGUGGAACACAAGGUUGAAACUUUUUCUGGUGUCUAUAAGAAGCUCACGGGCAAGGAUGUUAAUUUUGAAUUCCCAGAGUUUCAAUUGUAAACAAAAAUGGCUAAAU
This 244-nucleotide long non-coding RNA is filed under the name Homo sapiens (human). RNAcentral describes it as "HSALNT0390197". The record is from RNAcentral. Lineage: Eukaryota; Metazoa; Chordata; Mammalia; Primates; Hominidae.